Molecule: ribosomal RNA, 496 nt
Filed under: uncultured bacterium
Lineage: Bacteria
Description: partial 16S ribosomal RNA
Rfam family: Bacterial small subunit ribosomal RNA
Source: RNAcentral
GACGAACGCUGGCGGCGUGCCUAAUACAUGCAAGUAGAACGCUGAAGCGAGGAGCUUGCUCUUCUUGGAUGAGUUGCGAACGGGUGAGUAACGCGUAGGUAACCUGCCUUGUAGCGGGGGAUAACUAUUGGAAACGAUAGCUAAUACCGCAUAACAAUGGAUGACCCAUGUCAUUUAUUUGAAAGGGGCAAAUGCUCCACUACAAGAUGGACCUGCGUUGUAUUAGCUAGUAGGUGAGGUAACGGCUCACCUAGGCGACGAUACAUAGCCGACCUGAGAGGGUGAUCGGCCACACUGGGACUGAGACACGGCCCAGACUCCUACGGGAGGCAGCAGUAGGGAAUCUUCGGCAAUGGGGGCAACCCUGACCGAGCAACGCCGCGUGAGUGAAGAAGGUUUUCGGAUCGUAAAGCUCUGUUGUAAGUCAAGAACGAGUGUGAGAGUGGAAAGUUCACACUGUGACGGUAGCUUACCAGAAAGGGACGGCUAACUACGU